ACAUGCUUACUUCCUCUUCACCUUCCUUCAUGAUGUGGGAAGAGUGCUGCAACCCAGCCCUAGCCAACGCCGCAUGAGAGGGAGUGUGCUGAGGGCUUCUGAGAAGGUUUCUCUCACAUCUAGAAAGAAGCGCUUAAGAUGUGGCAGCCCCUCUUCUUCAAGUGGCUCUUGUCCUGUUGCCCUGGGAGUUCUAAAAUUGCUGCAGCAGCCUCCACCCAGCCUGAGGAUGACAUCAAUACACAGAGGUAGAAGAGUCAGGAAAAGAUGAGAGAAGUUACAGACUCUCCUGGGCGACCCCGAGAGCUUACCAUUCCUCAGACUUCUUCACAUGGUGCUAACAGAUUUUUACCAUUGGAAUGACAUACUGCAUCCUAUAGUUAUCCCAUCCACUUUGAAAUCAAUGUGAAUUUAACUUCAAUUCCAUACAGAAACUUCUUUUCCACAGAUGGAGUUUAAGCCCAAGCUGGAGUGCGAUGGUGCAAUCCCAACUCACUGCAACCUCUGCCUCCCAGGUUCAAGCUAUUUUCCUGGGUUAGCCUCCCGAGUAGCUGGAAUUACAGAUGUGCGCCCCCAUGA
Molecule: small RNA, 576 nt
Filed under: Pan troglodytes (chimpanzee)
Lineage: Eukaryota; Metazoa; Chordata; Mammalia; Primates; Hominidae
Description: processed transcript
Source: RNAcentral